GUGCCAGCAGCCGCGGUAAUACCGGCAGCCCGAGUGAUGGCCGAUCUUAUUGGGCCUAAAGCGUCCGUAGCUGGCUGCGCAAGUCCAUCGGAAAAUCCACCCGCCCAACGGGUGGGCGUCCGGUGGAAACUGCGUGGCUUGGGACCGGAAGGCGCGACGGGUACGUCCGGGGUAGGAGUGAAAUCCCGUAAUCCUGGACGGACUACCGAUGGGGAAACCACCUCAGGAGGAUGGACCCGACAGUGAGGGACGAAAGCUAGGGUCUCGAACCGGAUUAGAUACCCCAGUAGUCC
RNAcentral lists this ribosomal RNA (293 nucleotides) under uncultured bacterium. Its description in RNAcentral is "partial 16S ribosomal RNA". It matches the Rfam family "Archaeal small subunit ribosomal RNA", at positions 455 to 747 of the family's 1478-position model. The record is from RNAcentral.